This is a long non-coding RNA of Orcinus orca (killer whale), 8095 nucleotides long. RefSeq lists it as uncharacterized. The transcript is spliced from 3 exons. The record is from RefSeq and is a predicted model, not a curated record. Lineage: Eukaryota; Metazoa; Chordata; Mammalia; Artiodactyla; Delphinidae.
GCAGCGGGGAGCCAAGGAGGUCCAGAGCAGGGUGAGGGGCUGAGAGGUGUCUGGGGCGAGUCCCCGGCCUUGGGCUGGCACCAGGCGACGAGGGUGGGCAGAGGAGACUCAAGGCCGCCCCAGGCGGGGAUGGGGGCUGUUGGGAGACUCGGCCUUGUCCACGUAAGCGUUUCCUGGCUGGAUAAUUAGCCUAAGUCCACCCAGAAUGUUUGGACGAGCAUGUUGGUAUUCACGGGGGGGAGGCAGAGGUGGGCGGAGUGGGCGCUGUCAGCCGCUGAGGGCUGGCCCUGGCACCCUGCCCUCUCUUCCCCCUUCCUGCCGCCCUGGUGUGGCCUCCAGAGCCCUGCGCAGGGCUCACCUCCUCCAUGAAGCCUCCCAGGCCCCACCCGGGCUGCACUUAGGGACCCUCUGGCCCCCCGGAACUUGCCUCCCUGCUCUGCUGGCACAAUCUGAAAGCUGCGAGUCAAGUAGUCCCUGGCCGUCAAGCUGUCCUCCAUUUCUCCCGGCUCCAGCACAGCACACCCUGCCCUUCCUUGUCCUCUGUUUAACUACUCUGGCCCAUUCCCUACAGCCCAAGGUCAAGGCCCUGACCCCUUUGCGGCCUCAAGGCCCUUCAGGAGUUAUCCCCAACUACCUCUCUGGCCUCCCCUCCUUCCAGCCUCCUUAACUCUGUAGGUGCCACUCCCUUUGCCUGGUUGCCUGGGCCUCCCUUUUCGACCUGGGGAAAAUCCUACUGUAAGUCCUGGCCACCUCCACCUGGAAGCCCUCUCAGAUCUAUCACGUUUGGUGAGUCACAGCAGUUUCCCUCCCUCCUUCCUUUCCUUCUCUCGGCAAAUAUUUACUUCGCAGCGUCUGUGCCGAGCCCUGUAUAGGAGCUGAGAACUCCGAAGAGAGCAGGACAAGGUCUCUGCCUCCAUGAAAUUGACAUUCUGGGCAAGACAGUUGAUACAUGUGAGAUCAGGAGGAGGUAAGCGCCUUGAAGAAACAUAAGGCUGGGUCAGGGGACAGGGAGGGAUUGGGGUGCGGCCAGGGAAGGCCUCCAGGACAGAGGAAUUUGAUCCGAGGCCUGAAUGAAGUGAGGGAGCAGAGAUUCUGGCAGAGUGGCCUGGAGGCCAGGGGCGGGAGGUGCUCCGUGUGUUCCCACAGCACAGCUCUGUGGCCUGUUUUGCAUUGUGUUGCCACAAGUGUAGUUACUCAAGGCAAGGAGUGUCUCAUUACUCUCUGAAUCUACCCAGGAGCCCGGCUCUGUAUUGGGCACAAGAGGGCCAUUGGCACAUGCCUGCAGGACGGCAGAUGAAUGAAUGUGUGAACCAAGGGAGAAAUGAGUGAAUUCCUGGACCUGUGCUGGGCACUGUAGAGAGUCUGUCCCCAGCUGCCCCAGUAAAUGUGGACAGAGCCUUAACUUCCAGCCACAGUGCUCUGCAUCCCAAGAGCUCCAUCCCUGGACUCCCAUCCCUCAAGCCGGAAACUGACCACCUGGAAGCCUCUAGGGAGCCCGCCCUGCUGGCACCGUUGUUCUUCUUUCCUGGCUGUGCCAACAGCGAGAGGCAAAACGUGCGUUUAGCAAAGAUGGCGUUUCAUACAGAGGAGAAUCAGGCCUCAGACUUUUCUGUUGUCAAGCUUGUCAAAAGAAGAGUCUACACACCCUUCCGCGCUCCCUCAGUUCACUCCGGGCAGAUUUCUGACACUGAACCUGCUCCCUCAGCACGGCCUUGUGGAGAUCUCCAAGGACUUCCACGUUGCCAGAUCCAUUGGGUGCAAUUAAACAUUCAUCGGCCUUGCCCUCUGAGUCCCUAACAGGCCAGUUACCAUCUCACUCCUUCGUCAGCCCCUUUCUCUUGUUCAGAGACCCUGAUCUGCUGGUCAUCCUCCUUCGCUGCCCCUCCGGCCACUUCUUUUCCCUUUGCAGGUUUUCCUACCUCCUCCAUCUGACCACUAAAGGCUAGAGGUCUUCUGGGCUCUGUGUUGCGUCCUUGUUUUCCUUUAAAUCCUUUUAGUAUAGAACAUUUCAAACAUACAUUAAAAGUAGAAAGAAUAGUCUAAUGAACCCCUAUGUACUCACCCAUUCUCAACACUUACCAAAUUAUGGUCUAAAUAUUCAUAACAUUCGUAAAUAUUAACUCCUCUCCCCUGGUUUAUUUUUAGGCAAAUUCCACACUUCAUAUUAUUUUAUAUGUAAACAUUUCAGUAUAUUUAAAAGACAAGGACCCCUUUAAAAACAUAGCCUUGAUAUCAUUAACACACUUAAAGGCUGUGUAACUAUAACUGGUUAGUCCUUUUUGGUUCUGUCUCUUUAGAAAUCUCAUUGACACCAUGGGCUUAAAUAGCCUCCGUAGGCCAAAGAUUCCCAGGCUUAAAUCUUCAAUCUAGACCUCUCUUUCAGCUCUAAAGUCUCAUUUCUAAUUCUCUGCUUGACAUUUCCACAUGCAGGGCUCAGAAGCAUCUCAGAUUUAACGUGUCCAAAACAGAACUCAUGAUUUCUACCCUAACCCAGCUCCUGCUCUGGGAGACCCUAUCUUGGUAAAUGGCAUCGGUGUCUGCCCAGAUGCCCUCAUUGUUCUUCACACCUCCUUCACCCUCACGCCCUCCUCCAAUCCAACAGCAGGUCCUGUAACUUCUUCCACCCAAAUAUACUUAAAAUAUGCUGACAAUCCACUUCUUUCUAUCUCCACAGCCAAACCAAGCCACCACCUGCUCUUGCCUGCACUGCAAGAGCCUUGUAACAGGUUUGUGUCUCUCACUUGCAUCUCUGCUGACACUCCGCUGCACAUGAGCAAGUCUGUGCUGGGCAGUAAUAUAUCAGAAUACUUUCCUUCCAGUUAGUAAAUAAUCACUCUCCUUGGCCACUCCCCACACCAGAGCUCCACCCCCCAACCCCCACCCCCGCACCCUACGCCCUCCCUCUGUCCAUCCAAUAAACCAAGCCUGGCCAAGCAAGGGGCCUCAGAGACCUUGCUAUAGUUUGGGUCCUUGUGCUCAAAUACUUAAACCUUCACAUGGUAUUGUGAUGACCUAAGACUUCAGGUAACUUCCCUCAUGAGAGUCAAGGGAAAGAUCCAGAGAACUUCUGCUCUCAUACUCUUCAACAGCCAAGAUAAUAUAUUAAAAAAAAAAUGUGAACUUGCCUUUGAGGUGGGGGAGUAGUGACUGGGAGGGGAGAUGAGAGGAACUUUUGGGGUGUUGGUAAUAUUCUGCUCUAGAUCUGGGUGGUGGUUACAUAAGUAUGUUCACUUUGUGAAAAUUCAACUGGGCUGGGUUCUUACAAUUUGUGUACUUUUCUAUCUAUCGGUUAUAUUUCGAUAGAGUUUUCUUAAAAUAUGUCAGACAGAAUUUUCCUGUGGUUUUGGCCCAAGAGGGCAGUUGUCUCUUAAUCUUACCUUUUCUCUUGCUCACAUCCUCUCCAGAGGCUUCUGCAGGGAAGAGGGCUCCUGCCAUCCAGGACCGGCCUUGCAGCAGUCAUGCCACAGGUCACCACCAGGGGCGCUGUGCCAGACUCCAAUUGUUCGGUGGAUGGAUAGGGUAGAACAGCCCUCUUCCCCCCUGUUACUCUCUCCCUUCAGCCUCCACGAGAUCAACUCCUCCAGUCUAUUCAGGCAACAGUGAAUUUCUUACCCAGGAGUUAGGAGAGCUUCUGGAAUUGAUGAGCUCCAGGACUAAGAUCUGAGUUCUGGCUAAUCUGCACUUCCCCUUGAAUCUCACUGCGGGAGACACCUAAAGACUCAGGCCCAUAAAAUAAAGCCAUGAAAAGAUGCUCAGUCUCACUGCUAAUAAAGGAAAAUGCAAAUUAAAAUCUCAGAGAGACACCGUUUCGUUUUGCUUGGCAAAAACUUAAAGGCUGAUAAUACCAAGUGUAGGCAACUAUGUGGAGAGUUCAAAGUUCUACAGGUGGGAGUAUGAAUCGGUAGAACCACUUUGGAAAGAAGUUUGGCAACAGUCUGAAGAAUUGAAGAUGCUCCUGCCCCAUGACUCAGGCAUCCCACUUCUAAGUCUAGUAGUGCAGAGGAGUGUGGGAGCCUCGCUGGUACAAGAAUCUUCUUACAAGGUCAUUUCUAACAUUAAAAAAUACAAAACAACCAGAAAAUAAAAUUUUGAAAUUGUGUCCUAUUUAUAUAGAAGUUAAAACAAAUGAACUGCAGUUCACAUGUAUCAACACAGAUACAAACAAAGGCAAAAUGUUGAGUGGAAAAAACAAGUGCACAAGGAAUGUCCAGUGUGAUUCCAUUGGGAAAAAGUUUCAGGACAUGAAAAUCAGCACUGUAAGAUGUGUAUGGAUGCAGACAUGUGUAUUAAAAGUAUCAAAAUGCUCAUGGGAAUGAUAACACCAGUUUCACGAUAGUGGUUUCUGCUGGGGAAAGGGGAAUGAUACGCAGGAAACUUCAGCUCAUCUGUUGUUCCAUUUCUUAAAAGUGAAAAUCUGGAGGAAAGAUGGCUCAGCAUUAAGUGUGAUAAAGCCAGGUAGUAGGUACAUUUUUCUUUUCUAUCCUUGUCUGUACGUUUGGUAUGUUUUCCAAUAGAAUCGAUCAAUUAAUGAAAAAAGCUACUUAGGCCUCCCCAGGGGAAGAGGGCAUGAAGGCUCCCUCCCACUCCAAAUGGUUCACCUGUCCCACGGUUGAGCCUUUGCUCCCAGCACCGUCCUCCCUUCUUCCAGGCACUUAGGUGGAAAACUCUAAAGCACAAUGUGGAAAAUUCUACCCUUCCCCCAGGCCAAGCUUCUCUCCCAGAGUCCUGUCCUCAACACUGCAUCAUACAUCUGAGCCUUUGGUCUGGGUAGUGGCCCAACUUCAGCCUGACGUAAGGAAACAUGGUGUUUAGGAGCCAGACUACCUGGGUCUGAGGGCUGCCUCUGCCACUUGACUGAGGGGCCUUGGAUGAGUUACUCUGAUUCUUUGUGCUGUAGGGUGGAGGGAGCACGGCUGGAGGAGAGGGUCACCAGGUGGCUGGCCAGGUGAGCAGGGGCAGCUCAGGGGGCUGGCGACCCUCAUCCUAUGUGGAAAUAGGCUACUUCCCACAGGGUGACCAGAUCUUAUUUAUAUGUGGCAACAGGAAAUGGCAACCCUCUGUCCACCCACCCCAAACCACGGGGGAGAUUGAAUUAUUUUAGCAUCAGUUCUUUCUAUUUCAAGUCUAACAUGCAAGUAAUGGAGUGCUGGCCAUCACUGGUUCACUCUCAGAGAUUCUUCCUCAUUGAACCUGACACCGCCAUACCAAAGACAGAGGUCCCGGCCAUGGGAUGGAAGAAUCCAUGGCCCCAGAUUGAGUUAUGGGCUCUGAUAACUCUGUCUUGAAGUUUGAGGAGUUUCACAUCUUAUAGUAAAGGGGCAGAGUUGGAAAGCCCACCCAGGUCUGAUGCCUCCCCAAGCAGUGCUCCCUCCUCUAUAGCAGUGCUGUGCCACUCCACAGUCCACUUAGCACGGGGGCCCCUGUAAGAGAUGGACUCAGGGGCCAGGGCAGGUUUAAGGGGCCUAAUAACAAGAUGUAACCUUAGUAGGGAGAGAGAAGUGCUUUCCUUAGCUCUGAAGGUGUGCAGAGGAGCUACAAAGUCAAGGCCAACUUCAGAGGCAGGUGGAAAGGUCAGCUCAAGGCCUGGGCUUGGAAUGACUUAGGUGGUUCACCUAAGGUGAAUCUUGGAAGAAGAUGGGUGGGGCAUGGAGAAUUGUAAAAUCACAGAGAUUGCUAUUGUCUAUCCGUUUUCCUCUAAUAACAGAAUCCCCCCUUCCUUUUUUUAAGCUAGGCACUUGGCUGCCCAACAUAAAAACUACAUUUCCCUGUCUCCCUGGCUAUGUGAAUAAGUUCUAGCCAAUGAGAUGCAAGCCAAAGUGGAGAAGUGUUCUCAUAGAGAAGAGGUAUUCCUUGUUCUUCCUUUUUUCUUCUUUUGUUCCCUGGAGAGCAGAAGUGUUGGCUGGUGUUGGAGCAGCAAUCUUGGGUUUUGAAGUGACCAUGUAAGCUGUACUAAUGGGACCACAAGAUAGGUGCCUCCUCCUCACAGCACUGUGGGGUGUCAUACCAGCCAGUCCUCCUACCUGUGGACUUUUGUGUGAGAUAGAAAUAGUUUCUACUUUGUUUAAGCCACGGUUCCUGUGGAGUUUCUGUCACCGAAUCCCAAAAUUACAAAGAAGACUACUAUUUUCAGUUUUUUGAUAAUUCUUCUGCUUGCCUUUUGGUGCUGGUCUGUCAUGGAUAGCUUUCCAACCUUUGCUACAUUUUCCCUGUUUUAGCAAAGAGAGAACAGAACUCACUCAGGCUCAGGCCCUUGGCAGGCACCAACAUCUAAAUGUAAUCUAUUGACAUUGUUUUGUUUCUAUGGUUUUUAUUUUUAGGUUACCAUUUAAUUAAGGUAAAGGACACUGCUUUUUCAUUUACAAUAGUGACAUGAGAUCACUUUCCUUUUUAAAUAAUUUACUUAAGCAAAAACAAUUGAGUCGAUUUAAAAGGUAUUAAGUGACUGAGAGCGCAGGUUCUAUCAGCCACGGCAGAAAUCAAGGAGGUAGCUGGAGGAUGACUAAAGCUUGGAAAACAAGGGUAUAGAUUUUGCUGCUUCAGAGAGAAUUAUAUAAACAUUUCCUCCCCCAGUAUUUUUUGGUUUUCAUUUUGGAUGAUUCAAAGUAUUCUUGUAAUGGGGUUUCCUAAUUCCUCAAGACAAUAAUUUAGUAAACACUCCCAGAGACCGUGCAUAGUAGUUAAAGAGUCUGAGUGCUGAAGUCAAACUCCCUGGGUUCAGUUCUUGGCUCCUGCAAUGACCAGCUGUGUGACCUUGGGCAAAUUACUGUAAUUCUCUGUGUCCAACAUCUCACCUGUAAAAUGGAGUUGAUGAUGUUAUUGGGAGGAUUAAAUGACACAUUGUAUGUAGAAUUCUGAGCUGAGUAUCUGGCCUACAUGAAGAUGUAAUAAAUGGCUGCUGUUAUUAUUACUGUUAUGUCUGACUUGAACACGUCAAGAAAUCAGUGUCGAAAGCUUUAUAUUAAGCCCUUGGGAGUUGAAUAACUCUGUCCCGAUGCUCAAGAAGGUUUACAUUUUAAAGGGAAGGUUUAUCUCAGUUUUUCUAUUAAUGUCCUUUUUCUGUUCUAGGAUCCAAUUCAAGACACCACGUUGCAUUAAUCUUCACAUUUACCUUAGUUACCUCCAAUCUGUAAUAGCUCCCUACUUUUUCCUUGCCUUUCAUAACCUUGACACUUUUUAGGAAUACUGGUCUGAUAUUUUGCAGAAUAUCCUGCAAUCUGGACUAGUCUAAUGCUUUCUCACAAUUAAAGUGAUGAUCUUGGGGAGGAAUACUACCGAGGUGACUUGUCCUCAUUACAUCAUAUCAGAGGGUACGUGGUGUCAAUGUCUUACUACUGGUGAUGUUAACCUUGAGCAAUUGGUUCGGGGGUGCCUGCCAGGUGUCUCCACUAUACAGUUAGUAUUUUUUUCUUUUUAUACUCUAUUUGUUAGAUGAAGGUCUAAAUCCAGCCCACACUCACAGAGAGAAAAAUUAAAGUCUCCUUCCUGGAGGGAGAAGUAUCUAAGAAUUUGUGAACAUAUUCCACCACAGGAAUUAAUAAAUAUUUGAGGAAGAUAUUUUGAAACUGUACUCUGUUUUGUCUUAGACCUUCACCCACAACUUUUAGCAUUCAUUGGUGAAUCUUGCCUUCAACCAUUGUUACUGUGAUGUUCUCAUGGUGGUUUUCUAUUUCCUUCUUUUGUUCUACAUUGAUUAGUUGGAAUUCUUAUGAAGGAGGAGUUGUCUCAUCCCCCACCCCAUUUACUUAUUUAGUCAACAAUUAAUUUAUAUCAGUAUGGAACAAUAAAUAUUUAUUAUAUCAUUUGGGAUAUAAUUCAAUAGUAAUGUAUUAGGAGCCCUUUCACAGUGGCUUGUGUCCUUUGGUAAGCCCCCAUAAUUAUUUUUGAGCACUUCCUUAAUUUUUGAUACCACAAGAUGCUCAAAAUUCAUCUUUUGUUUCCUCUGCCCUAGCCCUGGGAUCAACCAUUUCUCCAAGGACCCCUGUUCCUUUCAUUAGAGAAUGAUAUUUAGAAACCAAGAUCUGGGCACUAGGUGUGCUCAUUGCUAUGGGAGUGUCAUUGUUUCCAAAUCCUCUCAAUGAAUAGAGUUAGGAAUAUA